Molecule: long non-coding RNA, 744 nt
Organism: Coturnix japonica (Japanese quail)
Lineage: Eukaryota; Metazoa; Chordata; Aves; Galliformes; Phasianidae
Source: RefSeq, a predicted model, not a curated record
CUUUCACUACUGCUGCAGAGAUUUCCUCUGGGGAAAAGUAUCAGAAGAACAGUUAUCUGCACCUCGGAUGAAGUGGAAAAUUUAGUUCAACAGGCAAGACAUGUUCCCAGAAAGGGAGGAAAAUAAUCAGGGAAGAUAUUUAAGCCUGUCUGAACACAAUAUCAAGACCUGGAUAAUCACCAGUGAAUAACCACCAAUCUCACACAGAGAAAUUAAACGACUGAUCACUCAUUCCACAGAGCUUUCAGAUCCAAGGAUGAAGAAUGUGACAUAAGAAUUUAAGAAAACAACUGGACAAAAGGUUUAAUGGAUUCUGUGAUUCUAUGGAUAUGUUUUCAAUUUAGAAAGCCUGCUUUCUACAUGGGGUUCUACUUGUGCAGUCUCAGAUGACCUCCAGAGAUCCCUUCCAACCUCAGUCAUUCUGUGUUUCUGUGACUCUGCAAAGUGAUGCUAGACACCUGUGUGUGGACAGCAGAUUCCAAUGUAUACAGCAAAACUCAUAGCUAUCAAAGCUCAGUAAGUAUAGAUGAUCCCACAAGAAAAUAGUAGAUUAAAGCAAUGUUAUCUUCAUUUUUCACUUCAGCAGAAUGUGUCAACUCCUUUGAUAUAAGGCAAUCCAGAAACGUCUAAAAAUCACAACCCGACCAAUCAACUGAACAAACAAAAAAUAAUACAGAAAAGCUGUGAUUCUUUCAGUCUGCAAUUCCUAAUCAGGAGCAUCCCAGACUUGGCUAUGUAUUGCAC